RNAcentral lists this long non-coding RNA (971 nucleotides) under Anas platyrhynchos platyrhynchos (common mallard). RNAcentral's name for it is "lncRNA (ENSAPLG00000017409.1)". The record is from RNAcentral. Lineage: Eukaryota; Metazoa; Chordata; Aves; Anseriformes; Anatidae.
AUGGGAAUACUUAUACCUUAUAUAGUAACAUUUCAAAAAAUGGCAUUUAUAGGAGGUCAUGAAAAUAACCUCCUACCACGUUGUUCCACGGCUGCUGUUCCAUUUCAGGUUGGACAUAGGAAGAACAUAGAGCUAUGGUUACUUAACGGUACGGGAAGAGCACCAUCCUCUUUCACCUUUUGCUGCAUUGUUAAUGUGUAUAUGUGCAUAAGAAAUGCAGGUAAGCAGGGUGCUUAGCCUGUGAGCAUCUAAAUCAUGUUACCUCUGAGCUUCACUUUCUCACUGACAGCAAAUGGGGAUAAAUUUACUUAAUUAUCUUCUGUGGAUAUUGUGGGAUAAAUUCAUUAAAGAUUUGGAGUGUUAGGGCUAGAUAUAAUCUGGCCUUUAUUAAAAUUGCUAUGAUUGUAAUGCCGUUAGUACCCCUGCGCAAAUCCCAGCAAAAGUAAUUUUUUAUAAUGAUGGAGAUACAGAUCCUCUAAUUAUCCAGGACAACUCAAAUUAGCACCACAAAUAACUGCUAAAAGUUGAGACUGCAUGAUGUGAAAGAUAAUUGAUUUUGAAUAUGUCAGGGCACAACUGCUGUUAAGUGAUGUACAAUGUUAUUUUCUCAUGUUGGAUAUUUAAUCACACUUUGAAGAUACAGAGAUGUGAUUUAUACCAUUGCUAGAGACUUCAGGGGGCAGAAGCCUUGGCGAAACAAGGAGAGGAAAACUCACAGCUUGCUUGAAUUUUUUGCCUAUUGUCACUCAUAUCUCAUCUUGUUUAAUUGACAGUCAAUUUAUAUCAAUUUUAUAUUGUUUUCAGAUUUUAAACUGGGUGCAGUUACCAAGUCAGAAUGAGGAAGUGUUCUUUUAAGUGUUCAUUUUGGAUUCAUUGCAUUAAUAGAGAAGAGGUAUUCCUAGAGAACCUCCACAGGUUUCCAUUGGGGGAAUUAAAAUAAACCUUGGUAACUGAGAAGUUGACUUACUCCC